This 490-nucleotide ribosomal RNA is filed under the name uncultured bacterium. Its description in RNAcentral is "partial 16S ribosomal RNA". It matches the Rfam family "Bacterial small subunit ribosomal RNA", at positions 28 to 507 of the family's 1533-position model. The record is from RNAcentral.
GAUGAACGCUAGCUACAGGCUUAACACAUGCAAGUCGAGGGGCAGCAUGGUCUUAGCUUGCUAAGGCCGAUGGCGACCGGCGCACGGGUGAGUAACACGUAUCCAACCUGCCGUCUACUCUUGGACAGCCUUCUGAAAGGAAGAUUAAUACAAGAUGGCAUCAUGAGUCCGCAUGUUCACAUGAUUAAAGGUAUUCCGGUAGACGAUGGGGAUGCGUUCCAUUAGAUAGUAGGCGGGGUAACGGCCCACCUAGUCUUCGAUGGAUAGGGGUUCUGAGAGGAAGGUCCCCCACAGUGGAACUGAGACACGGUCCAAACUCCUACGGGAGGCAGCAGUGAGGAAUAUUGGUCAAUGGGCGCAGGCCUGAACCAGCCAAGUAGCGUGAAGGAUGACUGCCCUAUGGGUUGUAAACUUCUUUUAUAAAGGAAUAAAGUCGGGUAUGUAUACCCGUUUGCAUGUACUUUAUGAAUAAGGAUCGGCUAACUCCGUG